GAUGAACGCUGGCGGCGUGCUUAACACAUGCAAGUCGAACGGUGAACACGGAGCUUGCUCUGUGGGAUCAGUGGCGAACGGGUGAGUAACACGUGAGCAACCUGCCCCUGACUCUGGGAUAAGCGCUGGAAACGGCGUCUAAUACUGGAUACGAGUAACGGCCGCAUGGUCAGUUACUGUAAAGAUUUUUUGGUUGGGGAUGGACUCGCGGCCUAUCAGCUUGUUGGUGAGGUAAUGGCUAACCAAGGCGUCGACGGGUAGCCGGCCUGAGAGGGUAACCGGCCACACUGGGACUGAGACACGGCCCAGACUCCUACGGGAGGCAGCAGUGGGGAAUAUUGCACAAUGGGCGAAAGCCUGAUGCAGCAACGCCGCGUGAGGGAUGACGGCCUUCGGGUUGUAAACCUCUUUUAGCAGGGAAGAAGCGAAAGUGACGGUACCCGCAGAAAAAGCGCCGGCUAACUACGUGCCAGCCGCCGCCGUAA
This 485-nucleotide ribosomal RNA is filed under the name uncultured bacterium. Its description in RNAcentral is "partial 16S ribosomal RNA". It matches the Rfam family "Bacterial small subunit ribosomal RNA", at positions 28 to 523 of the family's 1533-position model. The record is from RNAcentral.